AGAGUUUGAUCAUGGCUCAGAUUGAACGCUGGCGGCGUGCCUAACACAUGCAAGUCGAGCGGUAACAGGUGUAGCAAUACAUGCUGACGAGCGGCGAACGGGUGAGUAAUGCUUCGGAAUCUGCCCAAUGGUGGGGAAUAACCAGCCGAAAGGUUGGCUAAUACCGCAUAAGUCCUACGGGGGAAAGCAGGGGAUCGCAAGACCUUGCGCCGAUGGAUGAGCCGAAGUCGGAUUAGCUAGUUGGUAGGGUAACGGCCUACCAAGGCGACGAUCCGUAGCUGGUCUGAGAGGACGACCAGCCACACUGGGACUGAGACACGGCCCAGACUCCUACGGGAGGCAGCAGUGGGGAAUAUUGGACAAUGGGGGAAACCCUGAUCCAGCGACGCCGCGUGUGUGAAGAAGGCCUGCGGGUUGUAAAGCACUUUUAGUGGGGAUGAAAAGCUCAGGGCUAACACCUCUGGGUCUUGACCUAACCCAAAGAAAAAGCACCGGCUAACUCUGUGCCAGCAGCCGCGGUAAUACAGAGGGUGCGAGCGUUAAUCGGAAUUACUGGGCGUAAAGCGUGCGUAGACGGUUAUGUAAGUCGGGUGUGAAAGCCCCGGGCUCAACCUGGGAAUUGCAUUCGAGACUGCAUAGCUAGGGUGCGGAAGAGGGAAGCGGAAUUUCCGGUGUAGCGGUGAAAUGCGUAGAUAUCGGAAGGAACACCAGUGGCGAAAGCGGCUUCCUGGUCCAGCACCGACGUUCAGGCACGAAAGCGUGGGGAGCAAACAGGAUUAGAUACCCUGGUAGUCCACGCCAUAAACGAUGAGAACCAGACGUUGAGAGGGUAAGCCUCCCAGUGUCGUAGCUAACGCGCUAAGUUCUCCGCCUGGGGAGUACGGCCGCAAGGUUGAAACUCAAAGAAUUGACGGGACCCGCACAAGCGGUGAGCAUGUGGUUUAAUUCGAUGCAACGCGAAGAACCUUACCUGGCCUUGACAUCCCAGGAUCCCGAAAAAAUUCG
Molecule: ribosomal RNA, 1005 nt
Filed under: uncultured bacterium
Lineage: Bacteria
Description: bacterial SSU rRNA
Rfam family: Bacterial small subunit ribosomal RNA
Source: RNAcentral